CUUAGCGGCGGACGGGUGAGUAACGCGUGGGUAACCUGCCUCAUACAGGGGGAUAACAGUUAGAAAUGACUGCUAAUACCGCAUAAGCGCACAGGACCGCAUGGUCCGGUGUGAAAAACUCCGGUGGUAUGAGAUGGACCCGCGUCUGAUUAGCUGGUUGGCGGGGUAACGGCCCACCAAGGCGACGAUCAGUAGCCGACCUGAGAGGGUGGCCGGCCACAUUGGGACUGAGACACGGCCCAAACUCCUACGGGAGGCAGCAG
RNAcentral lists this ribosomal RNA (263 nucleotides) under uncultured bacterium. Its description in RNAcentral is "partial 16S ribosomal RNA". It matches the Rfam family "Bacterial small subunit ribosomal RNA", at positions 91 to 354 of the family's 1533-position model. The record is from RNAcentral.